This 572-nucleotide ribosomal RNA is filed under the name uncultured bacterium. RNAcentral describes it as "bacterial SSU rRNA". It matches the Rfam family "Bacterial small subunit ribosomal RNA", at positions 398 to 983 of the family's 1533-position model. The record is from RNAcentral.
CGCGUGAGGGAUGACGGCCUAUGGGUUGUAAACCUCUUUUUUCAGGGAGGAAUAAAUGACGUGUACCUGAAGAAUAAGCAUCGGCUAACUCCGUGCCAGCAGCCGCGGUAAGACGGAGGAUGCAAGUGUUAUCCGGAAUCACUGGGCGUAAAGCGUCUGUAGGUGGUUUAAUAAGUCAACUGUUAAAUCUUGAAGCUCAACUUCAAAAUCGCAGUCGAAACUAUUAGACUAGAGUAUAGUAGGGGUAAAGGGAAUUUCCAGUGGAGCGGUGAAAUGCGUAGAGAUUGGAAAGAACACCGAUGGCGAAGGCACUUUACUGGGCUAUUACUAACACUGAGAGACGAAAGCUAGGGUAGCAAAUGGGAUUAGAUACCCCAGUAGUCCUAGCCGUAAACAAUGGAUACUAGAUGUUGAACAGAUCGACCUGUGCAGUAUUAAAGCUAACGCGUUAAGUAUCCCGCCUGGGAAGUAUGCUCGCAAGAGUGAAACUUAAAGGAAUUGACGGAAACUCAAAGGAAUUGACGGAAACUUAAAGGAAUUGACGGAAACUUAAAGGAAUUGACGGAAACUUA